GGCCUCCUGGUGCUUAUUAUGGGCUGUGUUCUUACACUGACUGCGUAGAAAGAGGAGGAAGCAAAGUAAAUCUAUCCCAUAAUCACCUCAGCCCAGGCCCUGUGCCUGGUUGGUAUUGUGAAUGAGGAGGCAUGA
Molecule: small nucleolar RNA, 135 nt
Filed under: Castor canadensis (American beaver)
Lineage: Eukaryota; Metazoa; Chordata; Mammalia; Rodentia; Castoridae
Description: Small nucleolar RNA SNORA51 (ENSCCNG00000005433.1)
Rfam family: Small nucleolar RNA SNORA51
About the family: ACA51 is a member of the H/ACA class of snoRNA that guide the sites of modification of uridines to pseudouridines.
Source: Rfam by way of RNAcentral